RNAcentral lists this non-coding RNA (232 nucleotides) under Clostridium pasteurianum. RNAcentral's name for it is "T-box sequence". It matches the Rfam family "T-box leader". Rfam says of the family: Uncharged tRNA acts as the effector for transcription antitermination of genes in the T-box leader family. T-boxes are found upstream of many aminoacyl-tRNA synthetase genes and some amino acid biosynthetic genes usually in Gram-positive bacteria. Lineage: Bacteria; Bacillati; Bacillota; Clostridia; Eubacteriales; Clostridiaceae. The record is from RNAcentral.
UAUAAAGCAAUGAGCAGAAGUAGUAGGGAUAAGUGAAAUUUUCAGAGAACCGAUGAUGCUGUGAUUUCGGUAAUUUCAAAAUCUUGAACUCGUCUGUGAGCUGUCUCCUGAAUUUAUUAGUAAGGCAGAACGUGGUCCUCCGUUACAAGGAUAGAUGGUAAUUUGCCAUUGAAAAAGUGAGUUCAUAAUAGAACUAAUUAGAGUGGUACCGCGGGUUAGCCUCGUCUCUUUU